This is a long non-coding RNA of Mugil cephalus (flathead mullet), 859 nucleotides long. RefSeq lists it as uncharacterized. The transcript has 2 exons. Lineage: Eukaryota; Metazoa; Chordata; Actinopteri; Mugiliformes; Mugilidae. The record is from RefSeq and is a predicted model, not a curated record.
UUCAAAUGUGAAGCAGCUUCUUUAUCUUGUGAAGAGUCCAGACUGUAGACUGGAGACUCUGUGGUGGCAGUAAAGGUAAACAGGACGGUAUGUGAGCUGAGAGAGGAUGAGCUGAGUCCUGAUGAUCCAGAGGUUGAAUCAGCAGCAGCUUGUGUGUAGAGAGACUCUGACUUGACCAUGUUACUGGGAGGUGGAGUCAAGAGGAGAGCUUCAUCCACAUGUUUCUCAAUUAACAUCAUCAACAGAGCUGCAAUCAAUCUAUUCUAACAGAACCAACAAAUAAAGUCCAGUUCCUCUGGAAUUAUUCAAACAUUAAGGAUUUUUUUUUUUUUUUCGAAAUUGUUAUUUACACCUUAAGAUGGAACCAAAUCUCCACUAGUGACCUGUAUGGAGUCAGGGCUAAUGACAUAUUAUUGUAAUUGUUUUUUAUGUUUUAUUAAAUAACAUAAGUGUGUAUUUACAUUUAGCACAUCAGAUAAGAUAUUUCUUCUACAUGGUGAAAUUUUAGGUCAUUUUGAUUCUUUCUGUAUUUGAAACACUGAAAAUACAAUAGAAAAUGUAAAGUAAAAGUGGGAAAUGUUCCUAUGAUAUUACUGUAACUGUACUUUCCUGUAGGAUUAUUUCAUCCUGGAUUUAUCUGUUUAUUCAUUUUUUGUGCAUAAUGAUAUAAAAACAUGUUCCUUAUGAAAUGAUCUGGAUUUAAACAGUAAUUAUAGAUGUCAGAGUACAUGUAGCACAGUGGACAUAUAAUGUGCAGAAAGUUGAUGAAGAAGGACAUUGAAGGAUGAGUUGAAUAUUUUUGUGCAUUUUGUAUGUGGUUUAAUGCAAGGAAAAUAAGUAAAUAAACACUUUACAAGUA